GAUGAAGAACGCAGUGAAAUGCGAUAACUAGUGUGAAUUGCAGAAUUCCGUGAAUCAUCGAGUCUUUGAACGCACAUUGCGCCCCCUGGUAUUCCGGAGGGCAUGCCUGUUCGAGCGUCAUUAUCACCCCUCAAGCCCGGCUUGUUGUUGGAUGCAGCGCUUAUCCCGCUCCUCCCAAAGAUAAUGACGGCGUCUGCGACGACUCCUGUACACUGAGCUUUCGGGCACGUACACGGCUAGAAGUCCAGACCCGGUCGCCGUCCCCCCCGCGGGGACACCCAUUACCACAAGGUUGACCUCGGAUCAGGUAGGAAUACCCGCUGAACUUAAGCAUAUCAAUAAGCGGAGGA
This 350-nucleotide unclassified non-coding RNA is filed under the name soil metagenome. RNAcentral's name for it is "partial contains 5.8S ribosomal RNA, internal transcribed spacer 2, and large subunit ribosomal RNA". The stretch from base 1 to 120 matches the Rfam family "5.8S ribosomal RNA", at positions 35 to 154 of the family's 154-position model. The record is from RNAcentral.